GUAAUUCGUCUCACGAGUAUAAUUUUUACAUGCAAAAUAAAACUUCCUCGUUGAUAGACUUUAUAAAUUGGUACUGCAAUAACUUUUACAAUUCACUAACCCUUUAAUCACUUGACUGUGUUUUUGUCCGAUCAAUCUUAGAUUAUAACUCAGUAAUUUGGUCUCCCUAUUCUAUCGGUCCUAACCAGUCUCUUAAGACAAUUCAAAAUCGCUUUCUAAAACAAGUAAU
Molecule: non-coding RNA, 229 nt
Organism: Cinara cedri
Lineage: Eukaryota; Metazoa; Arthropoda; Insecta; Hemiptera; Aphididae
Source: the annotation of a GenBank genome assembly